RNAcentral lists this ribosomal RNA (491 nucleotides) under uncultured bacterium. RNAcentral describes it as "bacterial SSU rRNA". It matches the Rfam family "Bacterial small subunit ribosomal RNA", at positions 28 to 516 of the family's 1533-position model. The record is from RNAcentral.
GAUGAACGCUAGCGGCAGGCUUAAUACAUGCAAGUCGAGGGGCAGCAGGGAUAGCAAUAUUCGCUGGCGACCGGCGCACGGGUGCGUAACACGUAUACAAUCUGCCUUUUACAGGGGGAUAGCCUUUCGAAAGAGAGAUUAAUACCCCAUAAUAGUUGACCGGGCAUCUGGUUGAUUUGAAAGCUCCGGCGGUAAGAGAUGAGUAUGCGCCUGAUUAGCUAGUAGGUGAGGUAACGGCUCACCUAGGCUACGAUCAGUAGGGGAUCUGAGAGGACUAACCCCCACACGGAUACUGAGACACGGACCCGACUCCUACGGGAGGCAGCAGUAAGGAAUAUUGGACAAUGCCCGCAAGGGUGAUCCAGCCAUGCCGCGUGCAGGAAGAAGGCCCUAUGGGUCGUAAACUGCUUUUACACCGGAGAAAACCUCCCUCGUGAGGGGAGCUGAUAGUAUGGUGAGAAUAAGCAUCGGCUAACUUCGUGCCAGCAGCC